This 24-nucleotide microRNA is filed under the name Ananas comosus (pineapple). RNAcentral describes it as "microRNA s1141_c006b". Lineage: Eukaryota; Viridiplantae; Streptophyta; Magnoliopsida; Poales; Bromeliaceae. The record is from RNAcentral.
GUCUGAGUCGAGUCGUGUCGUAUC